This 2129-nucleotide ribosomal RNA is filed under the name mouse gut metagenome. RNAcentral describes it as "bacterial LSU rRNA". It matches the Rfam family "Bacterial large subunit ribosomal RNA", at positions 360 to 2495 of the family's 2925-position model. The record is from RNAcentral.
GAAGGUAAGAAUCCUGUAAGCGAAAUGGCGAAAGACUGGAAGGAAUCCUGAGUACCACGAGGCACGUGAAAUCUAGUGGGAAUUUGGGGGGACCACCCCCUAAGGCUAAAUACUCCUUAGCGACCGAUAGAGAACAAGUACCGUGAGGGAAAGGUGAAAAGAACCCCGGAAGGGGAGUGAAAAGAACCUGAAACCGGAUGCUUACAAGCUGUCACAGCACGAUAAGAGUGUAGUGGCGUACUUUUUGUAGAACGGACCGGCGAGUUGCGCAGUCAAGCGAGGUUAAAGUGAAGAGCUGGAGCCGAAGCGAAAGCGAGUCUGAAGAGGGCGAAAGUUUGGCUGAGCAGACCCGAAACCGGGUGAUCUACCCAUGAGCAGGAUGAAGCGUUAGUAAAAUAACGUGGAGGUCCGAACCAGGUAUCGUUGAAAAGAUAUUGGAUGACUUGUGGGUAGGGGUGAAAUUCCAAUCGAACUCGGAGAUAGCUGGUUCUCCUCGAAAUAGCUUUAGGGCUAGCCUCGUUAAAGAAUCCCACGGAGGUAGGGCGCUGAUUUUCCUAGGGGGCGUCAAAGCUUACCGAAGAAUAUCAAACUGCGAAUGCCGUGAGGAGGAUAAACGGGAGUCAGACUGUGCGAGAUAAGUUGGACAGUCAAAAGGGAAAGAGCCCAGACCUCCAGCUAAGGUCCCAAAGUGUGCAUUAAGUGGGAAAGGAUGUGGAACCUCGAAAACAGCUAGGACGUUGGCUUAGAAGCAGCCAUACGUUGAAAGAGUGCGUAAUAGCUCACUAGUCGAGAGGUUGUGCGCCGAAAAUGUCCGGGGCUAAAAUGCAGCGCCGAAGCUGAGGAAUCCGACCUGAAAGGGACGGGUUGGUAGAGGAGCAUUGUAGGAAAGGAAGAAGCGAAGCUGAGAGGCUUGGUGGACAGACUACAAGAGAGAAUGCCGGAAUGAGUAGCGAGAGGAAGGUGAGAAUCCUUCCGGCCGAAUAUCUGAGGUUUCCAGGGUAAAGCUGAUCUGCCCUGGGUAAGUCGGGACCUAAGGCGAGGCCGAGAGGCGUAGUCGAUGGACAACAGGUAGAGAUUCCUGUACUUACGGUAUGAAUGAAGGAGUGACGGAGAAGGCUAGCGGAUCCUGCUGCUGGAAUAGCAGGUGCAAGCGAGGUAGCUGACAGCCAGGCAAAUCCGGCUGUCGAAAGGCGAAGACGUGAAGCGGAUGGAAAGCUGAGGCAAGUACAGAAGUCCGUGAAGCAGGCUUCCAAGAAAAGCUUCUAGUGUUAAUCAUACAGUAACCCGUACCGAAAAUGGACACACAUGGGUGAGGAGAGAAUCCUAAGGUGAGCGAGAGAACUAUAGCUAAGGAACUCUGCAAAAUGACUCCGUAACUUAGGGAUAAGGAGUGCUCAUAGAGAUAUGAGCCGCAGUGAAACGGCCCAAGCGACUGUUUACCAAAAACACAGCUCUAUGCUAAGUCGAAAGACGACGUAUAUGGGGUGACGCCUGCCCGGUGCUGGAAGGUUAAGAGGAUGUGUCAGCGAAAGCGAAGCAUUGAAUUGAAGCCCCAGUAAACGGCGGCCGUAACUAUAACGGUCCUAAGGUAGCGAAAUUCCUUGUCAGGUAAGUUCUGACCCGCACGAAAGGCGUAACGAUUUGGGCGCUGUCUCAGCUGUAGACUCGGUGAAGUCUUAGUACCUGUGAAGAUGCAGGUUACCCGCGACUAGACGGAAAGACCCCAUGGAGCUUUACUGCAGCUUGAUAUUGGACUUUGAUGCAAGAUGUACAGGAUAGGUAGGAGACUGAGAGACAUGCACGCCAGUGUGUGAGGAGUCGAUGUUGGGAUACUACUCUUCUUGUAUUGGAGUUCUAACCGGAUGCCAUGGAACUGGCAACGGGACAGUGUCAGGCGGGCAGUUUGACUGGGGCGGUCGCCUCCCAAAGAGUAACGGAGGCGCCCAAAGAUACCCUCAGCAUGGUUGGAAAUCAUGCGAAGAGUGCAAAGGCAGAAGGGUGUUUGACUGCGAGACCAACAAGUCGAGCAGGGACGAAAGUCGGGCUUAGUGAUCCGGCGGUGCUGAAUGGAAAGGCCGUCGCUCAACGGAUAAAAGCUACCCUGGGGAUAACAGGCUGAUCUCCCCCAA